Molecule: long non-coding RNA, 2362 nt
Organism: Scophthalmus maximus (turbot)
Lineage: Eukaryota; Metazoa; Chordata; Actinopteri; Pleuronectiformes; Scophthalmidae
Exons: 2
Source: RefSeq, a predicted model, not a curated record
CUGCUUGUGUACGGGGCCCAGAAGGUUGUGCUACACACCCCUGCUUACGUUGACUGGUUCGUUGACGUUCUCUGGCGGUUGUGACUCAACUCAACGGCCGUUAACUCGAGCAGGGGACUCCUAACUGACUGGAUUGACUAAUAGCACACGUCUCUGCACCUCCCUCGCGUCACUCAUCGCUGUUGCUAACGCCCGUUGACCUGUGAUGGCAUGACGACCGCUCGAAGAGGAAUGCGCCGCUCACUCGCCCGACGUUUCGUGUUGAACUUGAUUCAAAAGAAAGAAAACUUCUUUAUCGUUUGAAAACGUUCGUUCGCUGCAAAGCAAGAGAGAAGCCUCUUGUAACUUGCUCAGCGCUCUGAUAGAGUGUGACUGGCCGUUCGUGAGGAGGAAUGUGAAAGACGGUUCGCUACUUACGGGCUCCAGCGCCGCUGCUCUUCUUCACGUAGUUGUCUCGGCGCGCGGCGUCGACGAGCUGCUGUUGCGUUCAGGGACACCUCGUCAACCGCUGGCCCCUGCUUGGCAAGUCGUCCGAGGAUGUGGACAAACGCAAUUCAUUGGCUUGUCGUGGUACUGAAGUGGCGCCGGGUUGAUUAUUCACGAACUAUAUAUGCGUGGUCUGUCACACGUGACGCGAAAAGACUUCCUUUAAAACAACAGCUUCUUGAAUUCAGAUUUGAGGAACUUGUAUUCUGUUCGUAAGAUACGCAAAGGCGUUCACUUUCUUACGUAACGUACGCAAAUGUCCUUCCCCAUCCAGUCCACAUUGGAGUAGGUGCAGAUCUCGGUCAAAAAGAAACAACUACAAAAAGACUUGGAAGAUCUGCAUAUCUGUAUUACUUUUCAGAUUUGUGAGUAAGACAAGAUAAGAUAUUCCUUUAUUCGUCCCACAAUGGGGGGAUGUGGUCGUUACAGCAGCACAGUGGACAGAAUAUAGAAGAAAUAGCAGAAUAGAAAGAAAUUUAAAUUUUUUUAUAGAAAACAGUAUGUAUGUACAAAAUAUAACAAAAUAUAAAAAUAUAAAUAAUAUGUACAGAGCACAAGCAAUAGUUGCACAUGGGGAAUAAAUAUAAAUAUUGUACAGUUUGUUAUUGCACCAUGGUUAUUUCACGGUGGUUGAGUACUUCAAUGUAUUUAUGAAAGCGCAAAAAAAUAGAUUUUACUGCUUUACAGUAUUUUCAUCAAAAUGUCCCUUUACGUCCAGAAAUCCAUUAAAGAACACCAUCCAUCCAUCCAUCGAUGACUUUCAAGAUUGUGAGGGGGCUGAAGCUAAUCUCAGCUGACGUUGGCGGAGAGACGGGUUCCACAAGUCUGUGUCCCUCGUUUUUUGAUUCCCAUAAGGAUCUCAUCUUUUUCAAAAGUAGUUUUUUUACAUUUUGAAAUGCAGUCAAGUCUCAACAUCUUUAUAGAUUGAAUAUGGUCCAUGUACUCGUUAUAUUCUAACGGGCCUCUCGCUGCUUCUUUAAUGGUCAGUUUCUGUCCGUCUGCCACUUUUUGUCCUAUUGGCCUUUGCCAGUCACCUGAUCCUCACUGUUCCAUUAUCCCAUGAGUAUUUACUGUAUGUAUUUUAUGCCUCCAAGUUGUAGCGUUACAGCCUUUUUGUUUGCCUCUGAGUGACUGCCAGCAUGCUCAUUUUGAACUAAAGCUAGUUUAGUAAAUGUUUUAACCCUGUCUGUUGAAUCCUGUGUUGUGCCUGCCGACAAAGUGAAUCCUCUCAAUGUCACUAUUGUUUUAUAACGCUGCGUCCUUAUAUAACUACUGCUAUUACUAUGAGUUCAAGUAUGUAUGCAGUCCUUAGCUGCUACGGGACCUCAUUCUUAUUUCUUACUUUCAUCCCCUUUCCACUCUGUACAUUUACUUCCCUUACUUUUUCCUUGCAUGUUCAUCCUUCCUACCUCCCUUUGUUCAACUUUCCUUCUACUCUUCUCUUUUUUUAUGUGUCCUUUCUGUUAUAGAAAAGACACUAGUAAUACAGAGUGCAUCAAAUUUUUUUCACAAUGUACCAGACACUUGACUUUCUGAAAACACCAAAAGAAACACACAAAAAAACAGUGAAAUCUCCCUUUUUUCUGUUUUCACAAAUGGAAUAAAGGACCAACAAAAGUUAAAUGAGGUAAAGGUUAAAUCUAGUCCACAUUUGAAAAGUCUAAGAAUUGUGGCUUUUGAUCUGGACCUGGUCUGAUGUGGUCUUGAUGUGAAACAGCUGUAAAAUAUCACCUUUUUUUUGCAUUUGCACAAAUAGAAUAAAUGUUUCACAUAUCUGAGAUAGAUUUAACAAGUGUAAGUGCAGCAGAUGUGGUUUAGACUUGGUCGAAUUUCGUCUAAAUGGUGUCAAAUAAAUAAAUAAAUAAAUCUGUGACCA